GUGCUCACUUCAGCAGCACAUAUACUAAAACUGGAACCAUACAGAGAAGAUUAGCAUGGCCCCUGGCAAGGAUGACAUGCAAAUUCAUUAAGCAUUCCAUUUUUUA
Molecule: small nuclear RNA, 106 nt
Filed under: Sciurus vulgaris (Eurasian red squirrel)
Lineage: Eukaryota; Metazoa; Chordata; Mammalia; Rodentia; Sciuridae
Source: RNAcentral